AAGCUAUGAUGAUUUGCGCUCAAUGCAGUGAUAUAGGGUCUCUGCAACUGUCUGAAUUAUAUGCCGAUGAGUUGCGCAUCUGAGCUU
Lycium barbarum (goji berry) is the source of this 87-nucleotide small nucleolar RNA. RefSeq annotates it as small nucleolar RNA snoR114. The record is from RefSeq and is a predicted model, not a curated record. The transcript has a single exon. Lineage: Eukaryota; Viridiplantae; Streptophyta; Magnoliopsida; Solanales; Solanaceae.